CAGACGGCUGUCUCUUAUGAGGACCAGAAGUUGAGCCAAGGCACAGAGAAUUUAUAACAGCAGAUGGUGAGAACCAGGGCAGAAGGAGGACUCCUGAAGCCUCCGAAGGAAGGAAAUCAUUACAGGGCCCUACAGAAGUAGGUCAUGUGCUACAGCUGCUCAUAGUUUAAGAGGAAGAAACACGGGACCUCAAACCUGGAACACGACUCUUUCAAAAUGCUUGUGAGCAACCCAAGAAAAACAUCCUCCCGAGGCUUAUCUAAUAACCAUGAUCUCUAAUCGUCUCAAUGUGUGCUCAUGUUUCCUUAGGAGUUUGCACCCACUUCUCAGAGCUAACGAGAUGCCGAAACAGAACACAGAAAAAAUGUAAUGAAGGAGAUUUAAUAGUUUGUGUUAAAGCUAAUACGGUCCAUUAGGAGCUGUCAUUUUUAUAAACAAUGAGGAUAUGUUACCCUCUUCUUUGGUGUAAAGUCAUUCCAGGCAGGACCUGUAAACAUUCAGUAAUGAUCUGUAGAACUUGAUGAACGACAAUUAAAGCGCCACUUGAAAAGUCUGCUUUCCUCACAUAUUUGGUUUCUUGCUAAAUAAACUUGUAAAGUUCA
Molecule: long non-coding RNA, 602 nt
Organism: Callithrix jacchus (white-tufted-ear marmoset)
Lineage: Eukaryota; Metazoa; Chordata; Mammalia; Primates; Cebidae
Source: RefSeq, a predicted model, not a curated record